Pseudophryne corroboree (corroboree frog) is the source of this 343-nucleotide long non-coding RNA. RefSeq lists it as uncharacterized. NCBI's taxonomy places the organism in Eukaryota, Metazoa, Chordata, Amphibia, Anura, Myobatrachidae. The transcript is spliced from 3 exons. The record is from RefSeq and is a predicted model, not a curated record.
AGGCCUGUUUUCCAAGUUUCGUCCUGUUGACGACCUGUUACCCCCUGUUUUUUCCUGUUGUUGGGUUGCCGCAAAUAUUGGACCCGUUUAUCCAACUCUACCAUGGGCAACCUACUUGUGAUGUGGACCUGAACCUCCGCCAUGUAGCAGACAACCCCCCUCAGGUCUUGCGGAGUAUCCUUCCCAAGUGGCGUGGAUGUGAAGAGACACGACAGUUCCCCUGAUGUACCAUGGCAUGGGCGACCUACUUGUGAUGUGGACCUGAACCUCCGCCAUGUAGCAGACAACCCCCCUCAGGUCUUGCGGAGUAUCCUUCCAAAGUUGCGUGGAUGUGAAGAGACAC